AUUUCAGUCACGGAUUGAAUUCUUUCUUUUUAUCUAUGCAUCCAUCCAUCCACGCCCAUAAACAUAAGGCGAGGAGAAGGAAAGCAAGUAGAACGAGAGAUGGCUUCAAAGUGAAAUAGGAGAAGUUAACACGGGAGAGAAAAUAAGGGGUCGAAGCAGGCGAGCAAUUUGGCUAACAUGUUAGGUGGCUAGCAGAGGAAGCGGCGCGUUGAUGGUGGACAUCCUUCCUCACCAAAGCCGCCCCUGUUGGGCUGACGAAAGCAGAACCUCUUAGAGCACGACAAAGCACCGUCAGGGUGCAGCAGACAGUCGAGACCCGGGCAAGACGAAGACGACCGUGACGAGCUGUGUAGUCUGUGACAGAACGCAACCUGGAUGCUCACUGCCGUCUCAAAAUGACAUUAUCCGUCAAGUCCCGCCCACACACGGCUGACCGGCACUGCUCGUUGCAAUUUCCGACUGGAAAACUCGGAUUUGCAACUUCUAAUAAACUUAACACACAUUCCUUGCUUUUACACAUAUUUACAUUUCAAAUGGGACUGUCCAAAUUAACAUGUUAGUUUUCCUCAAAGUCACACUUUUUUAAAACUUGCAAUUAUCACACCACCAUUAGUUGAUCUGGUAGUGUAGCACACACUUACCGAAAGAGAAAGUCACACAAGUGGAGGUAGCAUAUAAGAAAAUAAACCUGAGAGUAAUGUUUUAUUAUUUGUUUGUAUCCGUUCCUAUGACACGCAUGUGAAAAUGUGUUCGUUGAAUGUAUACUACUACCGUGACUUUAAUGCUGAAUUUUGUUAGCAUGUCAAUGGUGUUUUACAUUGUGCGUUAGCAUUACGCCGCUGAUGUUUGGAACAAGCUACUUGUUUGUAACACGAAGUUUGCGUUGUAUAUAAAUGUACAGUGUGCGUAGUUGUUUUUGUCAUGCGUUUAGUUUUAUAGUGACAGUCUUACAAAAUGUGAAAUCUGUUGUUUAUUGUUGGGCUCGAAUUUGAAAUCUUUCAAUCAUAUUUGCAUACGGUAAGCGUAUUUGCCCACUUGGAUAUUGAGAAGAGUAUGAAAAACUAGAACAUUUAACUUUUGAUGAUUUUACUUUUAAUUAAUUUACUUGUCAAUCCAUCCAUUUUCUACCACUUAUUGUCAAUUGUUUUGAAAUGUGAAUCAUGAUUAAUAAUGUGAAUCGAUUGACAACUCUAAUUCCAACGCUCAAGGACUCGGCCAAAGUAGGGCUACAGUUUAUCGGUUUGUUGGGUUUAUUUCCCCAUAACGACUUUUUAAAUUCAUGGGAUUCUCACUGCUAUGCGCGGCGGCAAACAAGAUGAGCUAGUUUAGAAAGUCAUCUUGGGGUUAUUUUACGGCCAGAUCGCACACAACCCUUGAAAACGUCAUAAAUUUUUUACAUACUGAUUUUUUUUUCGUAUUCAUGCAAUUCUGUCGUUCAAAGUGUGUCACUGCUAAUGAGCACAGCUUAACUAAUGCGGCGGCAAACAAGAUGAGCUCGUUUCCGAUAUUCACAUUGUGUUUAUUUUAAGGUCAGUUCUCUCACAUCCUUUAAAAAUGCAUUAAAAUGUUACCUUUAUCAAUUUUAAAGCUUUUUGUUGUUCGUGGGAUUCCGUAAUUGAAAGUGCGUCACUGUUCCUGAGCGCUGCUUAAACUAACGCGGCGGCAAACAAGAUGAGCUCGUUUACAAAAGUCAUAUUGGGUUUAUUCUCAGGCCAGAUCGCCCACAGCCCUUAAGAAAACGUUAUUAAAUGUUAACGUAAUCAGAAAUGAA
Hippocampus zosterae (dwarf seahorse) is the source of this 1771-nucleotide long non-coding RNA. RefSeq lists it as uncharacterized. The transcript is spliced from 2 exons. Lineage: Eukaryota; Metazoa; Chordata; Actinopteri; Syngnathiformes; Syngnathidae. The record is from RefSeq and is a predicted model, not a curated record.